GAUGAACGCUGGUGGCGUGCUUAACACAUGCAAGUCGAGCGAAGCAGUUAAGUUGAUUUCUUCGGAUUGAUUCUUAAUUGACUGAGCGGCGGACGGGUGAGUAACGCGUGGGUGACCUGCCCCAUACCGGGGGAUAACAGCUGGAAACGGCUGCUAAUACCGCAUAAGCGCACAGAGCUGCAUGGCUCAGUGUGAAAAACUCCGGUGGUAUGGGAUGGGCCCGCGUCUGAUUAGGCAGUUGGCGGGGUAACGGCCCACCAAACCGACGAUCAGUAGCCGGCCUGAGAGGGCGACCGGCCACAUUGGGACUGAGACACGGCCCAAACUCCUACGGGAGGCAGCAGUGGGGAAUAUUGCACAAUGGGGGAAACCCUGAUGCAGCGACGCCGCGUGAGCGAAGAAGUAUUUCGGUAUGUAAAGCUCUAUCAGCAGGGAAGAUAAUGACGGUAC
This 450-nucleotide ribosomal RNA is filed under the name uncultured bacterium. RNAcentral's name for it is "bacterial SSU rRNA". It matches the Rfam family "Bacterial small subunit ribosomal RNA", at positions 28 to 478 of the family's 1533-position model. The record is from RNAcentral.